This 1030-nucleotide long non-coding RNA is filed under the name Nicotiana benthamiana. RNAcentral's name for it is "long non-coding RNA (NBEN_LNC020087)". Lineage: Eukaryota; Viridiplantae; Streptophyta; Magnoliopsida; Solanales; Solanaceae. The record is from RNAcentral.
GUGUCACCAAAAUUGUCUACUUAGUUCUGUUAUUAGUAAGAACAGAAAAUUGAUUUAAUAAUAUUGUUGGCCCUUUCACCUAUACAUCUCAUUUCUACACCUUUCCCAAUCAUGCCUAUAAUCAAACAACACACACUAAUUCAUCACUUAAACAACAAUAAUGGACUGGUAAAUAGUAAUACCCAGAAGAUAAAAAUACAAUCAGCAGAUCACUAUGAAUAGAUGGACUGUUUUACUAGAGUUGACUACACAUAACAGUCAUUACACAACUAAUUCACAACUUAAACAACAAAAAACAAGGUCUGAAUGCUUGUACAUGCUAGUCAGAUCACACAAAAAUCAUCGAACUACACAAACUACUCUAAUGCUUGUCCUUUUUAGUCUUUAGUUUUUCAAUUUUUUUUCCUUUUGUGCUACCAACUGAUUUGCGGACAUAGCUGAUUUGCCUCUCCAAGUGAGCUUCUUUGGUGAAUAUGGAAGAUUAGUAGACACAUUAACACCAUCUAUAUCUCCUUUGAAGCCAAUCUGCCUAGUACCAACAGGUUACUGUCUCUAAUUUUCAGAGAGGGAAAUAUUAGUCGUAUGAAUGACAGAAGAAGCAGAAGAAGAUUCAGACAUUUUGAAGCUAAACACGAUGGGGAAGAUGUAAAAACUCUGAUUUUUAGAUUUGGGAGAGAGAAGAAGAACAAGAACCCUAAUUUUCGGAGUAUCAGUCAUAUGGGGAUAGCUUAAGUCGUAUUUGACUGAUAAGUUAUAGGGUUUUAGUGGGUAAUGUAGGAGUUGGGUUGGGUCGGUCUCAAACAGGCGGUGGGUUGAACAUAUUUGGGAUGAUUUUUAAAUCAACUAAUAGUAUAAUGUCAUGUCAUUAAAAAGAAUUUUGAUUUAAAAUUUGAAAUGGACAGUUAACCUAAAGGGCAUAUGUGUGCCAAAAAUUUAUAUUUAGCCUAAUAGAUGAAUAAGGGAUAAUAUUAGACCAAAUAUAAUAAUUGAAGGGCAUAGCUGACCCUUUUUGGUAAAAUGUAUAACGCCG